This is a long non-coding RNA of Physella acuta, 1672 nucleotides long. RefSeq lists it as uncharacterized. NCBI's taxonomy places the organism in Eukaryota, Metazoa, Mollusca, Gastropoda, Physidae. The record is from RefSeq and is a predicted model, not a curated record.
UUUAGGAAAAAAUGCAACGUAUACCUGCACAGUUCUAAAUGUGUUUAGUUCUUCUGUACAGAAUAAAACAGUAACAUACACACCACGUAUAGCUUAUGCAGCUGAAAUAAUGAGCUUUACAGCAAAUACUAACCCAACAUCCUUAACGAUCAAUGAAAACUCUUCUGUUACAUUUACGUGUGAUGUAGACAGCUAUCCUCAAGCGUAUGUGGUCGUUUACAAACAAGAGGACGGUAGAGUUUUGCCAAACACAACAACUAUAGUAUCUUGUGAAGACAGCGGCAGUUAUGUUUGUGAAGCAAGAAACUUUGUGUAUAGUAACCCACAACAACGAUCGGUUUCGCUUUAUGUUAGGUGCUCCCUACAACUAAGAUCUACAAAUAAAAGAGAAUUUAGUGCUAAGCAAGGCAGUGAUUUCGUAACACAUUUUGAUGUGUACGGCUACCCUGCGCCCAUUUCUUACGCUUUGUUUAAAAAAGAAAAUGGACGUGCAAAUAACGUUUAUAAUUCUAAUUCAGGAAACAAAAAAUAUUUAUUUUAUUAUAUAGUUACAAAUUUGCCCUAUGGAAGUAUAUAUGUAGCCUUGUACAAUAUAAAUGUUAUAGAUUUUACGGCUUAUACACUCAGUGUGUAUAAUGGAUUUGAAAAAGAAACAAAAAUUAAUUUUAUGAUUCAUGAAGGUAAUCUGUUCUUUUUAAGCAUCUUGAAUUUAUCCAUUUUAAGGUGAUGGUACUUUGUUUAUAUGAUCAAUAUUUAUCAAUAUUAAUAAUAUAUAUUAAAACAUUUCAAUUGCAUUGUUGCAAGCAGCAUAACUCUUGUUUUAUUGGAUCCUUCAUUAAUAGAAAAAGACAAAGAAGUGGAUAACACGGCAGCAGCUGUUCUGGGAGGAAUUAUCGCUGUCAUUGUUGUAAUUGCUGUGGUCAUUAUCGUUGCUAUUAAAAGAAAAAGUAUAGAGCAGCGGCUGAAAUGUUGCAGUAAAAAGUACGAGGCUAACGCAACAACUGAAAACUCAAGAAUAUCUGAAACUAUUGGCGAUCCUGGAUAUGUGGAGAUUGAUAUAGAGGCUAUAAAUCGACCAGCAAUCAAUAGUAGAGGGUCUGAUGUAAGGCGUUUCGCUGUAAAUUACGAUCACAUAGAUGUAACGCAAAUGUCUGAUGCACAACACACAUAUGAAAGUGUUUCCAUAACGUAAAGAAGGAGUUCAAGUAAAAUACACGAGCAAACACAAUGAUUAAAUUUAAAUAAACGCAACUUAAUAAAUGUUUAUACAAUUAAUUUUAAUACGAUUUUUGUAUUUUCCAAUAAUUAGUAAUUAACUCAAUGGUGUAAACGUUAGCCACAUAAAAAUACCCCCAGGAAAAUAUAACUGCUUCAAAUUGUAAAAUUUUAAUUGUUAUACUUUUUUUCAUUGUGCAUUAGGAGACUCAAUUGGAAAAUAAUUUUAACCUAAUUUAAACAAGUAUUUAUAGAAAAUAACAGAACUAAAAUGAAAGACGGAUGAGCUGUCAAAUAUUUAAUGCUUAAACACACCAUGUUUAUAUUGUAAAUUCACUUUAUUUUACCUAUAGUUUUGUGUUUAUAAUUUUGACAUAUUAUUUAUGCAUCAUAUGUAGCCUACAUAUUAACAUAUUUUUAUAAUAUGGUUUUCAUUAUUUUAUAAAUUUAGUAUAUU